Molecule: ribosomal RNA, 3007 nt
Filed under: Salmonella enterica
Lineage: Bacteria; Pseudomonadati; Pseudomonadota; Gammaproteobacteria; Enterobacterales; Enterobacteriaceae
Description: 23S ribosomal RNA
Rfam family: Bacterial large subunit ribosomal RNA
Source: RNAcentral
GGUUAAGCGACUAAGCGUACACGGUGGAUGCCCUGGCAGUCAGAGGCGAUGAAGGGCGUGCUAAUCUGCGAUAAGCGCCGGUAAGGUGAUAUGAACCGUUAUAACCGGCGAUACCCGAAUGGGGAAACCCAGUGUGACUCGUCACACUAUCAUUAACUGAAUCCAUAGGUUAAUGAGGCGAACCGGGGGAACUGAAACAUCUAAGUACCCCGAGGAAAAGAAAUCAACCGAGAUUCCCCCAGUAGCGGCGAGCGAACGGGGAGGAGCCCAGAGCCUGAAUCAGCAUGUGUGUUAGUGGAAGCGUCUGGAAAGGCGCGCGAUACAGGGUGACAGCCCCGUACACAAAAGCGCAUGUGCUGUGAGCUCGAUGAGUAGGGCGGGACACGUGGUAUCCUGUCUGAAUAUGGGGGGACCAUCCUCCAAGGCUAAAUACUCCUGACUGACCGAUAGUGAACCAGUACCGUGAGGGAAAGGCGAAAAGAACCCCGGCGAGGGGAGUGAAAAAGAACCUGAAACCGUGUACGUACAAGCAGUGGGAGCCCCACCACUAAGCCAGUGGUGAACUCCACAUACGCAUCCUUUGCUGAGGAUACGGUUAACGGAGCGAAAGCGACGUUCAACCUCAAAAGAAGCAGAGGGGGCUUAGUGGUGGGGUGACUGCGUACCUUUUGUAUAAUGGGUCAGCGACUUAUAUUCUGUAGCAAGGUUAACCGUAUAGGGGAGCCGUAGGGAAACCGAGUCUUAACCGGGCGUUAAGUUGCAGGGUAUAGACCCGAAACCCGGUGAUCUAGCCAUGGGCAGGUUGAAGGUUGGGUAACACUAACUGGAGGACCGAACCGACUAAUGUUGAAAAAUUAGCGGAUGACCUGUGGCUGGGGGUGAAAGGCCAAUCAAACCGGGAGAUAGCUGGUUCUCCCCGAAAGCUAUUUAGGUAGCGCCUCGUGAAUUCAUCUCCGGGGGUAGAGCACUGUUUCGGCUAGGGGGCCAUCCCGGCUUACCAACCCGAUGCAAACUGCGAAUACCGGAGAAUGUUAUCACGGGAGACACACGGCGGGUGCUAACGUCCGUCGUGAAGAGGGAAACAACCCAGACCGCCAGCUAAGGUCCCAAAGUCAUGGUUAAGUGGGAAACGAUGUGGGAAGGCCCAGACAGCCAGGAUGUUGGCUUAGAAGCAGCCAUCAUUUAAAGAAAGCGUAAUAGCUCACUGGUCGAGUCGGCCUGCGCGGAAGAUGUAACGGGGCUAAACCAUGCACCGAAGCUGCGGCAGCGACGCUUAUGCGUUGUUGGGUAGGGGAGCGUUCUGUAAGCCUGCGAAGGUGGCCUGUGAGGGUUGCUGGAGGUAUCAGAAGUGCGAAUGCUGACAUAAGUAACGAUAAAGCGGGUGAAAAGCCCGCUCGCCGGAAGACCAAGGGUUCCUGUCCAACGUUAAUCGGGGCAGGGUGAGUCGACCCCUAAGGCGAGGCCGAAAGGCGUAGUCGAUGGGAAACAGGUUAAUAUUCCUGUACUUGGUGUUACUGCGAAGGGGGGACGGAGAAGGCUAUGUUGGCCGGGCGACGGUUGUCCCGGUUUAAGCGUGUAGGUGUGUGUUCCAGGUAAAUCCGGUUCACUUUAACACUGAGGCGUGAUGACGAGGCACUACGGUGCUGAAGCAACAAAUGCCCUGCUUCCAGGAAAAGCCUCUAAGCAUCAGGUAACAUCAAAUCGUACCCCAAACCGACACAGGUGGUCAGGUAGAGAAUACCAAGGCGCUUGAGAGAACUCGGGUGAAGGAACUAGGCAAAAUGGUGCCGUAACUUCGGGAGAAGGCACGCUGACACGUAGGUGAAGUGAUUUACUCAUGGAGCUGAAGUCAGUCGAAGAUACCAGCUGGCUGCAACUGUUUAUUAAAAACACAGCACUGUGCAAACACGAAAGUGGACGUAUACGGUGUGACGCCUGCCCGGUGCCGGAAGGUUAAUUGAUGGGGUCAGCGCAAGCGAAGCUCCUGAUCGAAGCCCCGGUAAACGGCGGCCGUAACUAUAACGGUCCUAAGGUAGCGAAAUUCCUUGUCGGGUAAGUUCCGACCUGCACGAAUGGCGUAAUGAUGGCCAGGCUGUCUCCACCCGAGACUCAGUGAAAUUGAACUCGCUGUGAAGAUGCAGUGUACCCGCGGCAAGACGGAAAGACCCCGUGAACCUUUACUAUAGCUUGACACUGAACAUUGAGCCUUGAUGUGUAGGAUAGGUGGGAGGCUUUGAAGUGUGGACGCCAGUCUGCAUGGAGCCGACCUUGAAAUACCACCCUUUAAUGUUUGAUGUUCUAACGUGGACCCGUAAUCCGGGUUGCGGACAGUGUCUGGUGGGUAGUUUGACUGGGGCGGUCUCCUCCUAAAGAGUAACGGAGGAGCACGAAGGUUGGCUAAUCCUGGUCGGACAUCAGGAGGUUAGUGCAAUGGCAUAAGCCAGCUUGACUGCGAGCGUGACGGCGCGAGCAGGUGCGAAAGCAGGUCAUAGUGAUCCGGUGGUUCUGAAUGGAAGGGCCAUCGCUCAACGGAUAAAAGGUACUCCGGGGAUAACAGGCUGAUACCGCCCAAGAGUUCAUAUCGACGGCGGUGUUUGGCACCUCGAUGUCGGCUCAUCACAUCCUGGGGCUGAAGUAGGUCCCAAGGGUAUGGCUGUUCGCCAUUUAAAGUGGUACGCGAGCUGGGUUUAGAACGUCGUGAGACAGUUCGGUCCCUAUCUGCCGUGGGCGCUGGAGAACUGAGGGGGGCUGCUCCUAGUACGAGAGGACCGGAGUGGACGCAUCACUGGUGUUCGGGUUGUCAUGCCAAUGGCACUGCCCGGUAGCUAAAUGCGGAAGAGAUAAGUGCUGAAAGCAUCUAAGCACGAAACUUGCCCCGAGAUGAGUUCUCCCUGAGACUUAGAGUCUCCUGAAGGAACGUUGAAGACGACGACGUUGAUAGGCCGGGUGUGUAAGCGCAGCGAUGCGUUGAGCUAACCGGUACUAAUGAACCGUGAGGCUUAACCUU